Molecule: ribosomal RNA, 253 nt
Filed under: uncultured bacterium
Lineage: Bacteria
Description: partial 16S ribosomal RNA
Rfam family: Bacterial small subunit ribosomal RNA
Source: RNAcentral
GACGAACCGUACGAACGUUAUUCGGAAUUACUGGGCUUAAAGGGUGCGUAGGCUGCGCGGAAAGUUGGGUGUGAAAUCCCUCGGCUCAACCGAGGAACUGCGCUCAAAACUACCGUGCUCGAGGGAGACAGAGGUGAGCGGAACUUAGGGUGGAGCGGUGAAAUGCGUUGAUAUCCUAAGGAACACCCGUGGCGAAAGCGGCUCACUGGGGGUCUUCUGACGCUGAGGAACGAAAGCCAGGGGAGCGAACGGG